This is a long non-coding RNA of Oreochromis aureus, 2686 nucleotides long. Lineage: Eukaryota; Metazoa; Chordata; Actinopteri; Cichliformes; Cichlidae. The record is from Ensembl.
GAGAACACAUCUGGGACUUUUUCGCGUUCUCAGUUUGAUGCGUACUUCGAAUUGGAACAGUACUUGGUCUCCGACUGAUGACGUAUCACGAGUACACGAGAACGCAAGUACGCACAAGUACGCAUAUUGAGAAACGGCAUUAGUCUCUCACUGAACGUGCUCCUGUGAUUAGCCAGCACAUCAUGGAGUGGGUGGGAGGUAUUAUCCAGCAUUGUCUUUAUCUUGGACAACAUCCGCUUCUCAGACACCACCCUAUGUGGUCGGAUCCACAAUCCGUCUUUUACAGUGGUGCAGAAACCCAGGAUUGUGACGUGGAGGAACCGCAACCAGGCCAGCCAGGGGAGGCGCUGGCCCAAAUGGUGGCCGAGCUCACCGCCACGCGGAGGAAGCAGGUGGUGGUGUUUCGCCACCAGUGGGAACAACGGCAGGACUGGACCGAGCCCUGGAUGCAGUGGAAAGAGCAUGGAAGGAAAAUGUCCAGAUUGAGAGGUGACUGUGUGGUGGUACCUAAGACUAAAUAUGCUGAGGAUUGCAUCAUUUUGAAUAUUUCCACAAUGAACCAACAAAAAUAUGUCAAGACUUCUGAACUGAGACUGAAUUCUUGAAUUCAGACAAUGAGCUGAGGACCCACCUAAACCACAACAACAGAUGAUUACCAUGGAGGGCCAGAUAUCAGCCACUUACAAUGUUCAGAGGUCUCAGAGAGGUUUCACCCUUAAGAGCAUGUAGUUACUGUAGUUCAACACAUGUAUCUGAUUCUGUCGUUAGCUUUUCAGACCCAUCCUUCAUGUAGCAUUUGGUAAUUUUAUGUGGCCAGGAAAACAUCAACUCAAAUCAAAGACAGUGUUACAGAACAUGUUUGAUAAGGGUAAAUUGUAAAUGAAAUACUUAGAAAUUAUAAUCCUAAAGAUUUUCAUUGACAUUAGACUAUUGAUGCCACAAACUCUCCUUUUUCUAACACUAAAAGCAGGUGUGUGUCAAAUAAAGUUAAAAAAAAAUCAAUGUAUUUUAAUAAGCUGAUACAUCAACAAUUGACAAUAGAACAAACAGAUCAAACAAUAAUCUCAAAAACUUUUUUGUAUUUGGUAUUUGCAAUUUGACCCACUGUGUUUCAGGCUGUUAUUAACAACAUCCUCAGAGACUUCAUUAAUCAUUUCGUGUUUGUUUACCUGGAUGAUAUCCUCAUAUUUUCUAAGUCUGUUACAGAACAUGAGGCUCAUGCCCACCAAGUCCUGCAGCGUCUCCUGGAGAAUUUUAUACUUUAUGUCAAGGGCGAGAAAUGUGAGUUCUAUGCCCAGUCUGUUUCUUCUCUUGGGUUCAUUGCUGAAAAACAUCAGUUUUAGACAGAUCCUGUCAAGAUUAAGGCAGUGGUAGAGUGGCCUGGAUGACUUAAUAGGAAACAACUUCAAAGGUUCCUUGGAUUUGCUCAUUUUUACAGACGCUUCAUUCGUGACUUUAGAGUUCAGGCAAGUUAACGGUAAUGUGAUUACCUUUAACUCAUCUGCAGAACAAAGCUAUUAAGUUGGUGACUGGGAGCUGCACACCAUUAAGUUGGUUGGUUGAAGGGGAAGAGCAUCCACUAGUUGUUUGGACAGGCCACCAAUAUCUCACCUACCUGCAGACCAUUUAAUGCCUGAAUGGAUGUCAGCUCAGUGAGGCGGGAAACGAGAGAAGGGAAGGAUGGAAAGCUGGGACCAGCGCUGACCAGACUGUGGGCUGUUGUAUAAAAACCAAAAUAAACUUGACAUCUGUGAGCACAACCAUUGUGUGCGUGGAGUGCAUUCUUCAAUCUGUAAUUGUAAACAAACAGACGGAGCCUCGUUUUCUUGGAACCACUGCUAACCAAGAAAAGAAUACAUUUUCUCAAAGCUCAGAUCUCACAGAUUCCAAAACUGCAAGUCACGCUCCAACCAAAAUCCACUGAACCAGCCACAAAGGAAGACCACAAAUAUGUUUGAUGCAUGAUAAACAAUAACGUAAAAUCAGACUUAGUGCUUUUGUUCCUUCAAUUACAGAGACAUCCAUUCUACACUACAGCUCAUUUCCUGACUAACUCAAUCUCCUACAAUGCCCCAGAGCCAUUUCCCAUUUAAAAAAUCACUAUUUUCUGCCCAGUUACAGACAUUUUAUUGGACAAGGGCAAGCGUCAUCUUCUGAUUGGUGGAACUGACCUAAACACGGUGACAUUAAUGUGAUUUUGUUGACUCAAAUGAUAAAAAGAGCGGUCAGUCAUGUAAAUUGGGCAAUAGAAGCCGAAGUUACAGAGAUUAAAGGGAAAAGAGACAUUUCCAAACCUUAAUUAGACAGAGGAAAAAACAGGCCAAAUGUACCUCAGCGUGUGGGUACUUCUUAAAUAAAAAUAAUGGAAAAACAAGCAUUUUUAGGCAUGCAAAUAAAGUUAAAUCAUUUCUGCUGUUCAAUACCUAAAAAAUUUCAACUGACAGAUGGUGCCAACAUUUGCCAAAUGGCAAAACACCUGAGUAUCUAUUCAUUAAAAGUUCUGUUCUGUAAUUUUUCACUGUUUUGAUUCAGAGGUAUGCAUCUUUGCACAGACAAUGUUUUUCCUAUGUUGAUUACUGGUUUUCUGGAGUUUAUUGUCUACUGAAGCAUAUUUUCAAAGUGGUUAUAUGAAUUAAAAUCCCAAAAUAAAGGAUAAAGGAAAAAAUCGACUUUUUCUAUGUUCCAG